UUAAAAUAUGUGCACUUGCUGUAAAUAUGGACAGAAACCAAUAUGUGGGCUUUAGGUGGGUAUCUAGUGAGCAUGGGAUGCCCAUAAAGAACCUACAUACAUUU
Small nucleolar RNA from Camellia sinensis, 104 nucleotides. NCBI's taxonomy places the organism in Eukaryota, Viridiplantae, Streptophyta, Magnoliopsida, Ericales, Theaceae. The record is from RefSeq and is a predicted model, not a curated record.